UACAUCUUGCAUUUUAAAUAG
This 21-nucleotide non-coding RNA is filed under the name Caenorhabditis elegans. Lineage: Eukaryota; Metazoa; Nematoda; Chromadorea; Rhabditida; Rhabditidae. The record is from RNAcentral.